RNAcentral lists this ribosomal RNA (449 nucleotides) under uncultured bacterium. Its description in RNAcentral is "partial 16S ribosomal RNA". It matches the Rfam family "Bacterial small subunit ribosomal RNA", at positions 338 to 795 of the family's 1533-position model. The record is from RNAcentral.
CCUACGGGGGGCUGCAGUGGGGAAUUUUGGACAAUGGGCGCAAGCCUGAUCCAGCCAUGCCGCGUGCGGGAAGAAGGCCUUCGGGUUGUAAACCGCUUUUGUCAGGGAAGAAACGGCUCGGGCUAAUACCUCGGGCUAAUGACGGUACCUGAAGAAUAAGCACCGGCUAACUACGUGCCAGCAGCCGCGGUAAUACGUAGGGUGCUAGCGUUAAUCGGACGUGCUGGGGCUGUCAUGCAAGACAGAGGUCAAAUCCCCGGGCUCAACCUGGGAACUGCAUUUGUGACUGCAUGACUUGAGUACGGUAGAGGGGGAUGGAAUUCCGCGUGUAGCAGUGAAAUGCGUAGAUAUGCGGAGGAACACCGAUGGCGAAGGCAAUCCCCUGGACCUGUACUGACGCUCAUGCACGAAAGCGUGGGGAGCAAACAGGAUUAGAUACCCGUGUAGUC